AUCACAUUGAAAAAUCUGUGUAGCGGCGAGCAAGGCCGCGUUUCGAGAAGAUAUAAAAAUUGAGAACUCGACGACUCUGGGAGAGUGGUUCGCGCGAGUCGACUCGGCCCAUACCGGAAACAUCACGGCGCCUCAGCUCAAGGUACUUCUCCGGCAAUCCCUCCGCUCUAAUCUUCCCGAAAUCCCCAAUUUUUGUCUUCCCUCGAACUUACGACGACGUUUCGAUGGUUACAGAGCGCUCUUGCUGUUAGUAAUAAAGUGAGCUGCUUUAAGCCGUGGUUAGCGGUUCAUGUUUUCUUUAUAAUUCGUGCACUUUAAUGUGUAUCACAGACAUUAGGCUACAACUAAUCGUGGCUAUCUUGUUCCUGAUGAUGUGCAUGAGCUAAGCAAGGCAGAGUGACUCUGGAUCUCAACCAGUUUGUCUACUGCAGUGAAGUCUUGGUGAUCCAUCAACUAUAUGAUGUUUUUCGAAUUGGAAGAUGUAGAGAAAGACAAUACUCCAAACUCCAGAGUAUUGCUUCUCAGUUAGUGCAAACUCCACACUAGCCCAAGACUUACAACCAACAGUAAAGAGAAAGAAUGGAACUCAACGAAGAUGAAUCAACUUUCACUAACAAGGAAAUAAGCUUACAAGUUACAACACUCUCCCCAAGAGCAUGAACAAUACCAUCAAAAGGAAAGAUGAAAAACUAACUCAAAAGGAUAAGCAGCAGCUAGUUAUCAAUGCAAUUGAAGACUAUUGUCUGGAAGGAACACCAAAACAUAAAGGAGUGCCACUGCACCAUGAAAACAUGCGGGUUCCCAAGACAGCCACAAUUAAGGAAUUAAUAUAAGUUGUUGGGUAUGUGGUAAGUCAUUCUAGAAAAACCACUUUAAUUUUAACAGAAGAAGCGCCCAUGGUGAGAAUGAUCAAGAACUGGAAGGAGAUCUUGAUGACGACGAUGAUGAGGAAGAAGCCCAGAACAUGCAAGCAAGUGAUCACGAGGAUGAAAGCGAAGGUAGCGCCCAGAACAUGCAAGAAGCAAGUGAGCAUGAUGAUGGAGGAGAGGCCGACGAGAGCUAUGAUCAGUAUGGUGACGAGGAACACCAAAACAUGCACGAAGCAAUUGAUCAUGAGGAAUGGGAUGAUGAUAAUGACUAUUUAAGUACAAAUGAUUUUAGAGUUUACAAGAUGGAUGUUCAGACUGGUAACUUUCUCAAGUUACAAAGACCGGACCAGAUAUUAUGUUUGACCGAUUAUGGUUCAAUGUCUCUUCAAGCGAGUGAUUUCAAAGAGUUGGAAAAGAAUAGUAUUUACUUCGCAACAAAUGGAACCUCCGAACCCGUAUUACACUGUCUUAUUAAUCCUAAGUGAUGUAUAACGCAUCAGAAAGAAUAGUAUUUACUUCGCAACAAGCGAGUGAUUCCAAUUGUCCUUUGCCCAGUUCGACAACCCAUCAGAAUAUCUACAUAGGAUUGUACUCUAAAAUCUUUUGAAUCCAGUAUGCUUUCAGGAUUGUGCAAUGUGCUUUGGUUUGAGAUUUUUCUUAAGUCAAUGCAUGAAUAUCCCACCUAUGUACUCUGACUUCACAUUGUAAGAAAUUCAAUUCGUUAACAUCA
Malus domestica (apple) is the source of this 1599-nucleotide non-coding RNA. The record is from RefSeq and is a predicted model, not a curated record. Lineage: Eukaryota; Viridiplantae; Streptophyta; Magnoliopsida; Rosales; Rosaceae.